UACGGGGGAUGCAAGCGUUAUCCGGAUUUAUUAGGUUUAAAGGGUGUGUAGGCGGGUCAAUAAGUCAGUGGUGAAAUCUCCCGGCUUAACUGGGAAACUGCCAUUGAUACUGUCGAUCUUGAAUGCAGUUGAGGUAGGCGGAAUGUGUAAUGUAGCGGUGAAAUGCUUAGAUAUUACACAGAACACCGAUUGCGAAGGCAGCUUGCUAAACUGUGAUUGACGCUGAGACACGAAAGCGUGGGGAG
Molecule: ribosomal RNA, 245 nt
Filed under: uncultured bacterium
Lineage: Bacteria
Description: partial 16S ribosomal RNA
Rfam family: Bacterial small subunit ribosomal RNA
Source: RNAcentral